Molecule: small RNA, 386 nt
Filed under: Pongo abelii (Sumatran orangutan)
Lineage: Eukaryota; Metazoa; Chordata; Mammalia; Primates; Hominidae
Description: retained intron
Source: RNAcentral
CGGGAAACCCCGGCCCGUUGCCUCCGCUAGGUGCAGCCGUGGGGAUGGCAGGUUCGGGGAGGCUGGUCCUACGGCCCUGGAUUCGGGAGCUGAUUCUGGGGUCAGAGACACUCUCCAGUCCACGAGCCGGGCAGCUGCUCGAGGGAGGAGAAGGAGUUCGGCUUCCGCGGGACAGAGGGCCGGCUGCUGCUGCUGCAGGACUGCGGGGUCCAUGUCCAGGUCGCUGAGGGCGGCGCGCCCGCAGAGUUCUACCUCCAGGUGGACCGCUUCAGCCUGCUGCCCACGGAGCAGCCCCGGCUACGGGUGCCUGGUUGGUAAGUGAUGCCUCCGCCCUCCAGCAGCUCUCCCCACCCCAGCCUGGCCGGCGCUGGCAGACGCUUUUGGGG